CACUCCUGCGGGAGGCAGCAGUGGGGAAUUUUGGACAAUGGGCGAAAGCCUGAUCCAGCAAUGCCGCGUGCAGGAUGAAGGCCUUCGGGUUGUAAACUGCUUUUGUACGGAACGAAAAAGCUCCUUCUAAUACAGGGGGCCCAUGACGGUACCGUAAGAAUAAGCACCGGCUAACUACGUGCCAGCAGCCGCGGUAAUACGUAGGGUGCGAGCGUUAAUCGGAAUUACUGGGCGUAAAGCGUGCGCAGGCGGUUAUGUAAGACAGAUGUGAAAUCCCCGGGCUCAACCUGGGAACUGCAUUUGUGACUGCAUGGCUAGAGUACGGUAGAGGGGGAUGGAAUUCCGCGUGUAGCAGUGAAAUGCGUAGAUAUGCGGAGGAACACCGAUGGCGAAGGCAAUCCCCUGGACCUGUACUGACGCUCAUGCACGAAAGCGUGGGGAGCAAACAGGAUUAGAUACCCUAGUAGUCCCAUGA
RNAcentral lists this ribosomal RNA (475 nucleotides) under uncultured organism. Its description in RNAcentral is "partial 16S ribosomal RNA". It matches the Rfam family "Bacterial small subunit ribosomal RNA", at positions 334 to 800 of the family's 1533-position model. The record is from RNAcentral.